RNAcentral lists this ribosomal RNA (490 nucleotides) under uncultured bacterium. RNAcentral describes it as "partial 16S ribosomal RNA". It matches the Rfam family "Bacterial small subunit ribosomal RNA", at positions 30 to 507 of the family's 1533-position model. The record is from RNAcentral.
AUUGAACGCUGGCGGCAGGCCUAACACAUGCAAGUCGAACGGUAACAGGAAGCAGCUUGCUGCUUCGCUGACGAGUGGCGGACGGGUGAGUAAUGUCUGGGAAGCUGCCUGAUGGAGGGGGAUAACUACUGGAAACGGUAGCUAAUACCGCAUAAUGUCGCAAGACCAAAGAGGGGGACCUUCUGGCCUCUUGCCAUCGGAUGUGCCCAGAUGGGAUUAGCUUGUUGGUGGGGUAACGGUUCACCAAGGCGACGAUCCCUAGCUGGUCUGAGAGGAUGACCGGCCACACUGGAAGUGAGACACGGUCCAGACGACUACGGGAGGCAGCAGUGGGGAAUAUUGGGCAAUGGGCGCAAGCCUGAUGCAGCCGUGCCGCGUGUAUGAAGAAGACCUUCGGGUUGUAAAGUACUUUCAGCGGGGAGGAAGGGAGUAAAGUUAAUACCUUGGCUCAUUGACGUUACCCGCAGAAGAAGCACCGGCUAACUCCGUG